GCGUGGAGAGUGGACGGAAGCUGCAUGUGAUUCCUCGAGCCAAGAAGGGUGCCGAGGGAAAGCCCCCUGGCCACAGCAGCCACGUCCUCUGCAUGGCCAUCUCCUCCGACGGCCUCUGGUGACCGCAGCAAGCUCAUUCUCAUUUGGGAGGCCCAGAGCUGCCAGCACUUGUACACCUUCACAGGACACCGGGAUGCAGUGUCGGUGAGGAGCUGGGUCUAUGUCAGUGGAUCUUUAGUGGGCACAUGCUAGUGUUCUAGGCUCAGUGCUGGCCUCUGGAGUCUCUGUCCUCAGGGAACCUGCAUCCUGGGGUAGCGAGU
RNAcentral lists this long non-coding RNA (320 nucleotides) under Homo sapiens (human). RNAcentral describes it as "HSALNT0054603". Lineage: Eukaryota; Metazoa; Chordata; Mammalia; Primates; Hominidae. The record is from RNAcentral.